Long non-coding RNA from Gambusia affinis (western mosquitofish), 2049 nucleotides. RefSeq lists it as uncharacterized. The record is from RefSeq and is a predicted model, not a curated record. The transcript is spliced from 4 exons. NCBI's taxonomy places the organism in Eukaryota, Metazoa, Chordata, Actinopteri, Cyprinodontiformes, Poeciliidae.
UUGUGAUCACAUUUCCACUCCGUUCCACUACUCCAUUCCAGGUUUCUUUGUAUGGCAAAGAAAUCGGUAGCACAUCAAUUCACUGUGGAAUAGCUUUCUUUCAGUCACCUUACUGAUCUGAGCAUCAGGUGGGGGAGGGGGAGCAUUUACUCUAACGCUCCAUUUAACCAGAGAAGACUCAACCCAUCUCUGCAAUUUCUCUGGCACUCCCAAAUGGUUGCUACUGGAGAUUCAAAGAUUUCUCAAACAUGAAAAAAAUCAAAGCAACACUCCAGCAGUUGGUGCGCCUCCAAACCCUGGAGCACGAGGGGUCCUGAUGAGUGUAAUCAGCGCCAGACUGAAUUGGACCAAACACAUGGAGAGUUUUUCACAGUUGGUGCUUAAUCAUGAUGCUUGAUCAUCAGCUCUGCAAGCUGUUGCCUCUGCCAAACAGGACCUGCUGCUGCUGAUCCCUGAAGGAACUCUGAAGUCAUCUGAUUGGCCCAUGAACAGCCCAGGAGGGGAGCAGCUGUUUUGAUGUCAAACCCAAACAAGGAAAAAAAUCUACCUGAGGUUUAUAGUCUGUGGAUUUAAAGUCACCAAUCUAGUCAGGAGAUUUCUUUUAGUAAGGAUGAACUUGGUGAGCAAGCAUGUGGGGACAUCACACUAAAAUCAGAGCUAGUCAAAUACCGCUAAGAAGUGAAGCUGUACACACUGCUUACUUUCUCCCCCUUCCUUUAUUACAAAAUUUUAAAGGGGACACCGAAAGAAUGGAGAUUAAUUGAGUCAAAGAGUUACACAACCUACUGAGUGGUCCACUCUCUAUGGUGCCAGUUCAUAAAAACAGUACUGGCAAAGCAUUUGUGUCAACUUGAUCCGUUUCAAUAGUGUAAAGAGAGAGCUACGUAUCUCCUAUGCCAGUAGAAAUAACCUCUAAAUGCAGCUUCAGUGUUUUUCUCCUGAUACUGCCAGAAUCUUCUGGCAGUAUCCAUGGCAUCCUGACAGCUAUAGAUUUUGAACAUUCAUAACUCUAUUUGACAGGUAUGGCCAAUAAAGCUGAGUCAUAAAAGACAAGCCAAUGCUUAAUAUUUCUACACAGAGAAUUAUUAUUUAUCUGAGCUAAUGAUAGUAAACUUGGUCACUGAACAGGACAAGUAGCAAUUCCCCAUGGGACUGCAGCAUAACUUUUAAUGUAAAAUAUAGUCCUUUGAGCAGCUUUGUCCUGUUAAGUGCUUUGAAAUGACUCUUGUUGUCAACUAGCGCCAUACAAAGAAACUGAACCUUAAUUAUACACAUAAUCAUAUCCUUCCUUGAAAAGAUGUGAGGCUUAAGCUAAAACAAUCUACUUCUGAUAUACAUAAACAAAGAGGGAUUUUUAGAAGCUUUUGGAUGUUAGUAAUGUAAUUUUUUGUCCAUGUCAUGCAAGUUAUGGGCCUCCAUGAAGAAGAAACAAAAACUGAAAUGAUUUUUAAUUAUGCACAACUUAAUAGAAGAUUUUAGUCUAAGUUUUACUUUGUGUUUUGACUUACUUCAAUACGGCGGACCUAGAUUCAUUUUUAGAUAUUACCACUUGUACAUUUAUUAUCAAGAUCACAUCAAUAAAUGCUUGAAGGGCAAAGUGCAAUUUUAUUAUCUUGCCAAAGUGGACUUUGAUACGGAAGAAAAAAAAAAAAAAAAAAAAAAACCUUCCUCCACCUGAGAAACAAUGCUUUCCAUUUAAAGGCACAGUGUAGUGAAAGUACAAAUUCUGUAGUGAUUCAGCACAGAAACAUGGCUCUUAUAGAGAAACGCUGUGCCAAUAAGGCCCAAUCUAAGAGGACUUCUGAGCAGCUGUGUCUGCUCUUACUGGCACUCUAAUAAAAAGAUUUUUCAUUCAUCUUCUUGUGUAUCAUGUUUCCCAAUCUUUAUCAGACGUGAAACACACCUUAGGUAAAAGUUUGAGAGCUGGUCGUUUUCUUGCAUUACACCUACAAUUGAAAUAAGACACUCACAGCUUCCUGGAACCUGGAACCUUCCUGAACCUGUAUGUGAUUUUUAUCUACAUCUAGAUUCAGUUCAGAUUGUUCUGUU